This is a non-coding RNA of Sphagnurus paluster, 86 nucleotides long. Lineage: Eukaryota; Fungi; Basidiomycota; Agaricomycetes; Agaricales; Lyophyllaceae. The record is from the annotation of a GenBank genome assembly.
GCAUUAAUGGGGUAGUGGUAACCUGGGUCGUUGCCAUUUGUCGAGUGAAUCUCGACCCGCCGGGGGUUCGAUUCCCUCUUAAUGCA